UUCAUGCGCUAUGCCUUCGAC
RNAcentral lists this non-coding RNA (21 nucleotides) under Caenorhabditis elegans. Lineage: Eukaryota; Metazoa; Nematoda; Chromadorea; Rhabditida; Rhabditidae. The record is from RNAcentral.